AACUUUCUGAAUCCGUGCAGAGCUUUCGUCAGACACCAAACCAUUAUAGCUAGUCAGACUUCCAAGAUAAGUGAAGUU
This 78-nucleotide microRNA precursor is filed under the name Schistosoma haematobium. Its description in RNAcentral is "mir-3492 microRNA precursor family". It matches the Rfam family "mir-3492 microRNA precursor family". The record is from Rfam by way of RNAcentral. Lineage: Eukaryota; Metazoa; Platyhelminthes; Trematoda; Strigeidida; Schistosomatidae.